Non-coding RNA from Acanthosepion pharaonis, 97 nucleotides. The record is from the annotation of a GenBank genome assembly. NCBI's taxonomy places the organism in Eukaryota, Metazoa, Mollusca, Cephalopoda, Sepiida, Sepiidae.
UGAAACACCGUUUCUAGUAGCAUUACCGAAGUUAAGCAACGUCAAGCCUGGUCAGUACCUAGAUGGGUGACCGCUUGGGAAUACCACGUGCUGUAAU